This 469-nucleotide ribosomal RNA is filed under the name uncultured bacterium. RNAcentral's name for it is "partial 16S ribosomal RNA". It matches the Rfam family "Bacterial small subunit ribosomal RNA", at positions 28 to 507 of the family's 1533-position model. The record is from RNAcentral.
GACGAACGCUGGCGGCGUGCUUAACACAUGCAAGUCGAACGGAAAGGCCCUGCUUGCAGGGUGCUCGAGUGGCGAACGGGUGAGUAACACGUGGGUGAUCUGCCCCUUACUUUGGGAUAAGCCUGGGAAACUUGGUCUAAUACUGGAUAGGACCAUGCUGUAGGUGGUGUGGUGGAAAGAUUAGUUUCGGUAAGGGAUGAGCUCGCGGCCUAUCAGCUUGUUGGUGGGGUAAUGGCCUACCAAGGCGUCGACGGGUAGCCGGCCUGAGAGGGUGGACGGCCACAUUGGGACUGAGAUACGGCCCAGACUCCUACGGGAGGCAGCAGAGGGGAAUAUUGCACAAUGGGCGCAAGCCUGAUGCAGCGACGCCGCGUGGGGGAUGACGGCCUUCGGGUUGUAAACUCCUUUCAGCCAUGACGAAGCCCUUGUGGUGACGGUAGUGGUAGAAGAAGCACCGGCUAACUACGUG